UUGGAUUUACAUCAAUAUCUUUAGGCGUUUUAUUAAAAAAAAAGCUACAUUUGAUCAAGUGGAACUGCUGAUGUGUUCCAGAACGGAACUUUUUAACGCACACGUUUUGUAUUCUUUAUUAAGCUUGUAGUGAGUAAGGUUCUUAAGGUGUACUUAAUACAUCAAUGUCCAGUUCUGAUGAUGGGUUUCAUGAAGAAUCGAGGGAAUUCCUAAAAUCUUUUAGGCAUACAUGUAAUAAUUUCUGGGAUUUUAUUUACAUAUCAAGCAUUAUUAUUAAAAAAGUGUAAUUUGACUAAAAGUAACAGCUGAUGUUGACCAGAAUGGAACUCGCCAACUUGCGCGCGAUUUGUUUUAUUAGUUAAGUUUGUAGCAAGUAAGUUUUAAGUAUUAAGGUUUUUAGGAACAUAUGUGUCAAGGUAAAGGUCUGAUGAUAAGUCCCAUGAAGAAUCGAGGGAAUUUCUUAAAUGCUAUAGGCAUAUAUGUAGUACUUAUUGGAUUUUCAUCAACAUAUUAUCAACUUUUAUUCACAAAAGUGACAUUUGAUGAUGUGGAACUACUGAUGUUGACCAGAACGGAACUCCAACGCGUGCAAUUUUUCUUCGUUAAGUUUGUAGCAAGUAAGGUUCUUAAAAAACAUUUUUGUCAAAGUACAGUUCUGAUGAUGGGUUUCAUGAAGAAUCGAGGGAAUUCCUAAAAUCUUAUAGGCAUACAUGUAAUAAUUUCUGGGAUUUUAUUUACAUAUCAAGCAUUUUUAUUAGUAAAUUGUCAUUUGACUAAGUGUAACAGCUGAUGUUGACCAGAAUGGAACUCGCCAACUCGCGCGCGAUUUGUUUUAUUAGUUAAGUUUGUACCAAGUAAGUUUUAAGUACUAAGGUUUUUAGGAACAUUUGUGCCAAGGUAAAGGUCUGAUGAUGGGUCCCAUGAAGAAUCGAGGGAAUUUCUUAAAUGUUAUAGGUAUAUAUAUAUAGUACUUAUUGGAUUUUCAUCAACAUAUUAUCAAGUUUUAUUCACAAAAGUGACAUUUGAUGAUGUGGAACUACUGAUGUUAACCAAAACGGAACUCCAACGUGCGCAAUUUUUCUUCGUUGUUAAGUUUGUAGCGAGUAAGGUUCUCAAGAAACAUUUUUGUCGAAGUACAGUUCUGAUGAUGUGUUUCAUGAGAAAGCGAGGGAACUCCUCAUUCUCCUCAAUUCUUAUAGGCAUAUAGUCAUUUUGGAUUUUCAUCAAUAUCUUUAGCUUUUUUUAUUCACAUUAGUGGCAUUUGAUGAAGUGGAACUAGUGAUGUUGACUAAAACGGAACUCUUCAACGCGCGAGAUUUCUUUCUUCUUUUGUUUGUUGUGAUAUAAGAGGCAAACUAGCAGACGAAUCAACUGAUGGUAAGCGAUUACCGCUGGCCAUGGACACCUGUUACACCAUAGGGAUUGUAAGUGCGGUGCCGGUAUUUAAGAUAGGAAUACGCUCUUUCCUUAAAGUUUUAAAGAUCGUAUUAGGCCGGAAAUACCGCAUGCGACAGAUCAUUUCAUAGUUUAGCUGUAUGAGGCAGGAAGUUUCUAGAGAAAUGCACAGUUGAGGAUCGCCAACCAUCUAAGUGGUGAAGAUAUAAAUGAUGUUGCGUAAAGCGGUGACGGAAAGAGGCGGCAGAGAUUAAUCCGAACAAUUCCUCGGAACUUUUAAAUUUGUAGAAAGUAAGGUUCUUAAGAAAUAUCUGUGCUAGACACCAGUAUCUAGUGUCUAGGUCUGAUGAUGGACACCUCAAACCUUAUAGAAAUACAUAUAGUUUUUUUUUUUCAUCAAUAUCUCUAGGUGUUUUAUUUAAAAAAAGUUAUAUUUGAUCAAUUUGGUCUGAUGAUGGACACCUCAAACCUUAUAGAAAUACAUAUAGUUUUUUUUUUCAUCAAUAUCUCUAGGUAUUUUAUUUAAAAAAAAGUUAUAUUUGAUCAAGUGGAACUGCUGAUGUUGUCCAGAACGGAACUCUUCAACGCGCGCGAUUCUUAUUCUUUGUUAAGUUUGUAGCAAGCUAGGUUUUUAGGAAAAAUUUGUGUCAAGGUCCAGUUAUGAUGAUGGAUUCAACGAGGAAUUGAGGAUUUUAAAUCGAUUUGAAUUCUCAAUUGGGAGGAAUUGAGGAUUUUCGUCAACAUAUCAAGUUUUUUUUAUUUGAACAAGUGACAUUUGAUGAAGUGAAAACUGCUGAUAUUGAGCAAAAUGGAACUCUUCAACGACAAGUAUUUUACCUUAGGCGUUUUUUUAUUUUAUUUCGUUUAUAGGAUGUAAGGCUUUUAAGGAACAUUUGUGUCAAGCUCCAGUUCUGACGACAGGUUCUACGAGAAACCGAAGGAGCUUCUCAUAUUGUAUAUUGUGUAGUCACUUUAGGAUUUUCAUCAAUAUUACAAGCAUUUUUACUCAAUAAAGUGACAUUUGAUGAAGUAGAAUUGCUGAUGAAGAACGGAACACCUCAACGACUUCCAGAUUCUUUAUUUUUAUUACUCUUCUUUCUUUUUCAUUAUUCUUAGAACAGGUAUUUCUACUAAGUGAACCGAACUGCUACUAUUAAAAGUAGGUAGGUAGGUUAAAUAGGUUAGAACGGUAAGGAUUAUUAUGUAUAGGUAAGUAGUCUUUCUUUUAAUUAAACAUAGGUAAGUAAUUCUAUUUAAGUAUAAGUAUCUUUAAAAAAAAAACAUCAAUCGACUCUUAUCUGUUACUAGUUCCAGUUUCAGAGUAUAAAAGCCGGGUACACAGCUAGCCAGGUUACGUUAGGUAAUAAAUAAAUAAAUAUGUAGGGACAAUCUUACACAGAUUGGCCCCAAACUAAUCAAAGCUUGUACUAUGGGUACUAGGCGACGUUAAACAUACUUAUUUAGAUAAAUAUAUAUUUACGUAUACACAAAGAAAACACGCAUGCCUUAGGAACAAAUAUCUGUGUUCAUCACACAAAGAAAUGCCCUUACGCGAUUCAAACUCGGGACCAUCGGCUUCAUAGGCAGGGUCACUACCCACUAGGCCAAACCGGUCGGCAAAAGGUAAAGAUAAUUAGGUAAAGACAAUGAAUAAUUAAACGUAUUAUAAAUUGACACCAAUAUCCAUCAAAUAAGUAGUAUAACUAGGUAUGCUAAGAGCGGGCUUCAGGCCAUUACGUCGCACCUUUAGAAUGAAACUAAUUUGACUCAAAAAGUACGACUACUUUAUAUAUGUAGUUUGGUAGAACAGUAAGAACUCACUAUAUGUGUCUCUUUUUCAUGCGGUGAAAUCCCCCCACCCGGAAAGGGUAGCGACGCCCAUUUUAUCGACUCUCGAGUCGACUCCAAUCUGAUACUAAUAAAACCAUACGGCAAUAAUGAGGAUGCAUCGACAUAAGAAGAAUCGAUCAUGGGCAAGAUAAAGUUCAAGAAAAAAGCAAAUAUAAUGUGUACUUGUGUGUAGUCAAAGAAAGUUGAAAAAUAAAGCAUAAUUAAUGGCCAUAGAAUACAGAACCGAUACACGAACAUUAAGACUAUUAAAAAUAGACAUAUAGGUUGAUCGUACUACUCGUACUAAUGUAUUUCUUUUGUUCAAUUAUAUUGCAUUAAAGUUAGAUUCUCUAGGUAUAUAUUAUUCAUAGGUUCUGUAUUCUAUAUGAAUUGUUUUAGUGUAAUUAUUGUACUAAAUACCGUUGACCGCCUGUCAACAGUAUUUAUUUCUACAUUACUAUCACAGAUUUUAGGCCCUACAGUAGUUUUUGAAUUAGUAUUUACUAUGGACAAAUAUAGCGAAAUGUGAGUUUUUACCUAAAAUAUCAAUCCAGGAGAACAUAUUGGAGAGACUAGAGAUAAUACACCGCUUUAAGGGCGGUCGCACACGGGAUUGACAUCUGGCGUCUAGAUGGUGGGUGGACCUCAGCGAAUUUCAAAGAAAUAUUUAUAAACAUCCAAUGACGUUCGGCUCGGAUACCAGAUCUUCAAUCUCCUGAUUCCUGUGGAGUCUCCAGGUUCCAUCCUCUCCACGUGUGGGUCCUAGGAUUUUUUGCGCUGCCAGACUCCGAUGACUCGGACACGUAGUCCAGAUGGGUGAGGAUCGUGCAGCCUGGAGGGCGUACUCUGAAGUUCCAAAUGGCCAAAGACCGUCUAGACAUCCUAGGUAGGUCCCGCUGGAGAGACGAAAUGCAAAAAGACCUUAGCGAACUCGGCGCCGUCGACUAGAUGGAAACGGUUUUGGACAGAGAAGCAUGGCGGUCUUUGGUGUCGGAGGCCAAGAUCCACUUCGGGUCGCUGCGCCACAGCAGUAAAUAAGUAUUUAUAAACAUAUUGUACCUUCUGUGUACCUAACCCAAAACGAGAUAUUUAAGAAAAAGUCCACCCGCCAUUCUGACGUCAGGAUUGCGGUUGGACAUAUGAAAUCUUGCAUUAUACCGCACUAAAAGUAUGCAGUUAUAUGGUACAGUCGCCAUCAGAUAUAUCGGAGUGGCCGAGGUGCUCAAACAUAUCUAAACACGCACUCUAACCCCUUGACAGUAGAGGCAUGUUCAGAUAUUCGUGGGUACCUUGGCCGCUCCGAUAUAUAUGAUGGUGACUGUACCUUCAGUGUACCUCUGUAAAUAGAAAUAGAAACCGGUGUACCUCUCCCCAAAACAAGCUAGGCUAAGCUCAUGCACAAUAUAACUGCAUACUUUUAGUGCGGUAUAAUGCAAGAUUUCAUAGGUCCACCCGCCAUCCUGACGUCAGGUUGGCGGGUUGACCGUUUUGUAAAAUAUCUCGUUUUGGGGAAAGGUACACUGGUUUCUAUUAAAGGUACACUGAGGUACACAGGAAGGUACAAUAUGUUUAUAAAUAUUUCUUUGAAAUUCGCUGAGGUCCACCGCCAUCCUGACGCUUACCAUAUAUCUAAGGACCGACCUUAGGGGCAAUAACGAUAGUGCUAGUUCAGUUGUUUCAUUCACAAAUUCGAGCCAAUCGUGCUGUCUAACGCAACUAGAUGCGAUCAAUCGCGUGCGUAAUGCGAACUCAUCAACCAAUCACGUUGUGGUACUUGUGGCGUUAGACUGCACGAUUGGCUCAAUCAAACUCGUGUGCGUAACACCGCUGUACUGGUCUCAUUCUUAUUGCCCGUAAGGCCCGUCCUCAGAUAUAUUAUGUCAAUGACACAGUCGCGAUUUUAAAAAAUCCACAUCGCUUCUGCUACCAAAUUGUUGAGCAUAACGUUUUCCUAUCCAUAGGUUCCAUCUGUCCAGUAGGAUCCACCAUCUCGAUCCACCAGAUUGAAGAGAUUGUUACUUAACUGAUGGAUCGAGAUGAUGAAACCUACUGAAUAGGGCGGGUCGAUUGGCUGAAUUGGAUAUAACAAAGUACGCUUAUAUGAAACACUGCUCCGGUGUGCGAGUGAGACAGUCAGGCCAAUUUGAACUUGCAUUUGACAGAAAACUGAUUGUCUCCAUCGAACGCUACCAGUUCCAUUGCCGGCCUCUUCGCUGCCUUCUAUAGUGGUUCAAUCCUACCUUGCUUGUGAAUAAAAAAGGGGCGUGCACACCGAUAUUAGAGUAAUAUUGGAAUCAUAUCAGUUAGUUGCGGGCGUCUCGCUCGCACAAAUACAUGCAUAUAAGUGCGAAAUGAACGCACGAAUGACAGCUAACUGGUAUCAUUCCAAUAUUAUUCUAAAAUUGGUUUAACCCUUUACCAGGCCAAGGGAUAUAUUCCACCCACAUCUUAUAUCGUUUACCGUAGUCAGGUUUUAACUCCAAACCACCUACAAAAUAUUUUGUCAAUCCCUGAAAAUAUUAUUUUAUGAUCUUCAUUCAGAACACGCUUCUAAAUUGCGUAAUAUAUCUUCGGCAGCCGUUUAAAUUAACUUGAACGCUAAUUUCAGUAAACUACGGAGAAAUUCGAACACUUUCCAUAAUUUCUAUGAAACAGAAGUACAUAGGUCGAACAAUUUUUUGAUAUUUUGUAGAUUUUGAGUGUUGAAAGCUAAUGUAAUCGUAAACAUUGCUAAAUAUUCAUGCAUUAUUGUGUAUGACCAGAAUUAGGAUGUGGGUUGACAUUAUCCCAUGGCCUUAUUAGAGUUUAACUGUGUGGGAGCUAUUUUUCCCAUGGCCCGGUAAAUUGUCUUGUCAUGUCAUAAAAACUCACGUAAGUAAGUAGUGAUUGAUAUAAUGUUUCGUAGGAGAUUUGGAGUUAAACCUUGACUAUUAUAACCGAUAUAAGAUGUGGGUGGAAUAUAUCCCUUGGCCUGAUCAAGAAUAUAAUAAGACAAAAUCUAGUAUGACAGUUCAUUACUUAGACAGGCGAUGGGAUAACCGUAACCCACAUUUUUAUUUCUGGUUUAAAGGAAGAUCUCCGACUUUCAUAAAUACAUUUUUUACAAGGCGUUCAAUACGGUUGCAACAGCAUAUAAAGUACGUAUUAAGACACGCUGGUUCUUCGGGGCCUGGUAAAGGGUUAAUGUCAGUUGCACUUUCGAAUUGGCCUACAUAGCGAUUUCCUUAGCCUGCACACCGGAUCGGCGUGUGGGCCAGCAUCUACCUAAUGUAAAGCUACCUCAUUAGGUGCUUUUAGCCUUUUGAACGGCAAGAACACCUAAAGAUGUGGUGAGAGAAAGCCGCGCGUCCCUCAUGCACUAGCUUUACAGCUUGCAUUGCGACCAAUGUAUGCCGCUCACCGCCCCGCCGGUCGCGUGGGUCCAACCCGCGGCCGGCCCUAGAAUACGUACUUUACAUAUAAACAAGAGCACGCGAGCAUUUUGCGAGUUGUGUAUGUGUACUUGUGUUAUCUAGGCGCACAAACGGUUACAAUAACAAGAAGUGUACACCGCGUGUGCAGUCCAACACGGGAGCACGGGUGCGAUUCGAAAAUAACGCGCUAGCGACGCAUUACGACAUUGAUACUUUACCCGUAGAACGCCAUAAACAAAAACGUUACUCACACGCCAAGGUCACGGGCGCAAGUGAGCUUGAAAAUGCAUGAGUAUUACAUUAGGGACUUUAACAGCGAUUAUAACAGCUAGAAUCAUUAAUGUGUUCCUGGCCCUUAAAUCAUGUCUAGUGACGGCGCCUUUAGGUGUUCUUGACGUUCAAAAGGUUAAGGGCAAACGCUAGCAAACGCUAGCUGGCGCUAGUGCACGGAGCGGGCAAACACGCGCAGGUGCCUUUGUAAGUAAAAUCAGUCGCACGCGUCCGCGCCAGUUAGCGUUGCUCAUACUGUAAGCCCGGACGGACGCCCUAUGCCCUAAACCUUACUUGAAAGUGUGAAGGUUACUCUGACAGCGGCUAUAUCAGCUAUAAUGUAUUUAUGACGCUUUGAGCAUAGCUAGUUACGACGCCUUAAGGUAUUCUUGGCGUUCAAAAGGUUAAGGGCGUUUGCUAGCUGGCGCGAGUGCACGGAGCGGGUGCUCGGGUUGUAGGUAAAAUUCGUCGCACGCGUCCGCGCCAGUUAGCGUCGCCAGUUACUGUUUUUCGUUAACCCGCUCCAGCUAGCAAACUAAUCGCAAAUGGUCCGAGAUUGGCGCAAUAACCAUGCAUUCCCUUAUCUGGAUCUGGAUGCACCUAUUCACCAAUGCUUGCUUUAAAGUAACUUGUCGACUCGUCCUGAUAAUAUUUGUGCGACCGUGAAGAAAAUGUAUGCCGUCAGUUAUUUUUCAAUUUAUAUGAAAUAAAGGUGUUAAAUGUA
Molecule: long non-coding RNA, 7632 nt
Organism: Cydia pomonella (codling moth)
Lineage: Eukaryota; Metazoa; Arthropoda; Insecta; Lepidoptera; Tortricidae
Exons: 2
Source: RefSeq, a predicted model, not a curated record